UUAAAGCUUGCCCUGACAAAGACUUAAUGC
RNAcentral lists this non-coding RNA (30 nucleotides) under Rattus norvegicus (Norway rat). The record is from RNAcentral. Lineage: Eukaryota; Metazoa; Chordata; Mammalia; Rodentia; Muridae.